Molecule: transfer RNA, 74 nt
Filed under: Rhodocyclaceae bacterium
Lineage: Bacteria; Pseudomonadati; Pseudomonadota; Betaproteobacteria; Rhodocyclales; Rhodocyclaceae
Also listed under: 1 other name
Description: tRNA-Gln
Rfam family: tRNA
About the family: Transfer RNA (tRNA) molecules are approximately 80 nucleotides in length.
Source: RNAcentral
UCGGGGGUCGUUCAAUGGUAGGACACCAGCCUUUGGAGCUGAGGAUCGGGGUUCGAGUCCCUGCCCCCGAGCCA